UGUGCCCGUAGCUCAGUUGGAUAGAGCAUUAGAUUGCGAUUCUAAAGGUCAGAGGUUCAAGUCCUCUUGGGCACGG
This 76-nucleotide transfer RNA is filed under the name Borrelia sp. HM. RNAcentral describes it as "tRNA-Arg". It matches the Rfam family "tRNA". Rfam says of the family: Transfer RNA (tRNA) molecules are approximately 80 nucleotides in length. Their secondary structure includes four short double-helical elements and three loops (D, anti-codon, and T loops). Further hydrogen bonds mediate the characteristic L-shaped molecular structure. tRNAs have two regions of fundamental functional importance: the anti-codon, which is responsible for specific mRNA codon recognition, and the 3' end, to which the tRNAs corresponding amino acid is attached (by aminoacyl-tRNA synthetases). tRNAs cope with the degeneracy of the genetic code in two manners: having more than one tRNA (with a specific anti-codon) for a particular amino acid; and 'wobble' base-pairing, i.e. permitting non-standard base-pairing at the 3rd anti-codon position. Lineage: Bacteria; Pseudomonadati; Spirochaetota; Spirochaetia; Spirochaetales; Borreliaceae. The record is from RNAcentral.